RNAcentral lists this ribosomal RNA (305 nucleotides) under uncultured bacterium. RNAcentral describes it as "bacterial SSU rRNA". It matches the Rfam family "Bacterial small subunit ribosomal RNA", at positions 330 to 636 of the family's 1533-position model. The record is from RNAcentral.
UCCGGCCUACGGGGGGCAGCAGUGAGGAAUAUUGGUCAAUGGGAGAGAUCCUGAACCAGCCAAGCCGCGUGAGGGAAGACGGCCCUAUGGGUUGUAAACCGCUUUUGUUCAAGGGCAAGGCACGGUCUUUGGCCGUGUUGAGUGGAUUGUUCGAAUAAGCACCGGCUAACUACGUGCCAGCAGCCGCGGUAAUACGUAGGGUGCAAGCGUUAUCCGGAUUUAUUGGGCGUAAAGGGCUCGUAGGCGGUUCGUCGCGUCCGGUGUGAAAGUCCAUCGCUUAACGGUGGAUCCGCGCCGGGUACGGG